RNAcentral lists this ribosomal RNA (513 nucleotides) under uncultured bacterium. Its description in RNAcentral is "bacterial SSU rRNA". It matches the Rfam family "Bacterial small subunit ribosomal RNA", at positions 8 to 526 of the family's 1533-position model. The record is from RNAcentral.
AGAGUUUGAUCAUGGCUCAGGACGAACGCUGGCUGCGUGCUUAACACAUGCAAGUCGAACGCUGAAGCCCGCAGCUUGCUGUGGGUGGAUGAGUGGCGAACGGGUGAGUAACACGUGAGUAACCUGCCCCCGACUUCGGGAUAAGCCCGGGAAACUGGGUCUAAUACCGGAUAUGACAACCGAAGGCAUCUUUGGUUGUGGAAAGUUUUUUCGGUUGGGGAUGGGCUCGCGGCCUAUCAGUUUGUUGGUGAGGUAAUGGCUCACCAAGACGACGACGGGUAGCCGGCCUGAGAGGGCGACCGGCCACACUGGGACUGAGACACGGCCCAGACUCCUACGGGAGGCAGCAGUGGGGAAUAUUGCACAAUGGGGGAAACCCUGAUGCAGCGACGCAGCGUGCGGGAUGACGGCCUUCGGGUUGUAAACCGCUUUCAGCAGGGAAGAAGCCCCUUGGGGUGACGGUACCUGCAGAAGAAGUACCGGCUAACUACGUGCCAGCCGCCGCGGUAAUAC